This 640-nucleotide ribosomal RNA is filed under the name Streptomyces sp. YIM 78144. RNAcentral describes it as "bacterial SSU rRNA". It matches the Rfam family "Bacterial small subunit ribosomal RNA", at positions 118 to 771 of the family's 1533-position model. Lineage: Bacteria; Bacillati; Actinomycetota; Actinomycetes; Kitasatosporales; Streptomycetaceae. The record is from RNAcentral.
UGGGCAAUCUGCCCUUCACUCUGGGACAAGCCCUGGAAACGGGGUCUAAUACCGGAUACUGACCCUCGCAGGCAUCUGCGAGGUUCGAAAGCUCCGGCGGUGAAGGAUGAGCCCGCGGCCUAUCAGCUUGUUGGUGAGGUAAUGGCUCACCAAGGCGACGACGGGUAGCCGGCCUGAGAGGGCGACCGGCCACACUGGGACUGAGACACGGCCCAGACUCCUACGGGAGGCAGCAGUGGGGAAUAUUGCACAAUGGGCGAAAGCCUGAUGCAGCGACGCCGCGUGAGGGAUGACGGCCUUCGGGUUGUAAACCUCUUUCAGCAGGGAAGAAGCGAAAGUGACGGUACCUGCAGAAGAAGCGCCGGCUAACUACGUGCCAGCAGCCGCGGUAAUACGUAGGGCGCAAGCGUUGUCCGGAAUUAUUGGGCGUAAAGAGCUCGUAGGCGGCUUGUCACGUCGGUUGUGAAAGCCCGGGGCUUAACCCCGGGUCUGCAGUCGAUACGGGCAGGCUAGAGUUCGGUAGGGGAGAUCGGAAUUCCUGGUGUAGCGGUGAAAUGCGCAGAUAUCAGGAGGAACACCGGUGGCGAAGGCGGAUCUCUGGGCCGAUACUGACGCUGAGGAGCGAAAGCGUGGGGAGCGA